CGAGUAUUAGGACAUGGGCGCAAGCCUGACCCCGCCAUGCCGCGUGCAGGAUGACGGUCCUAUGGAUUGUAAACUGCUUUUGUACGGGAAGAAACACUCCUACGUGUAGGAGCUUGACGGUACGUAAAAUAAGGAUCGGCUAACUCCAAGCCGCCCCGCGGAAAUAAAAAAA
RNAcentral lists this ribosomal RNA (172 nucleotides) under uncultured bacterium. RNAcentral's name for it is "partial 16S ribosomal RNA". It matches the Rfam family "Bacterial small subunit ribosomal RNA", at positions 358 to 531 of the family's 1533-position model. The record is from RNAcentral.